GGCCGCGUGGCCUAAUGGCUAAGGCGCUAGAUUUCGGUUUCAGAGAAUCACCUUCUCUAGAGAUUCCAGGUUCGACUCCUGGCGUGGUCG
Transfer RNA from Trichoderma harzianum, 90 nucleotides. It matches the Rfam family "tRNA". From Rfam's summary of the family: Transfer RNA (tRNA) molecules are approximately 80 nucleotides in length. Their secondary structure includes four short double-helical elements and three loops (D, anti-codon, and T loops). The record is from Rfam. Lineage: Eukaryota; Fungi; Ascomycota; Sordariomycetes; Hypocreales; Hypocreaceae.